This 1442-nucleotide ribosomal RNA is filed under the name metagenome. RNAcentral describes it as "bacterial SSU rRNA". It matches the Rfam family "Bacterial small subunit ribosomal RNA". The record is from RNAcentral.
AGAGUUUGAUCCUGGCUCAGGAUGAACGCUGGCGGCGUGCUUAUCACAUGCAAGUCGAACGAUCCUUCGGGAUAGUGGCGGACGGGUGAGUAACGCGUGGGAAUCUGCCCUAGGAGGGGGAUAACGGCUGGAAACGGCCGCUAAUACCCCAUAUGCCGAGAGGUGAAACGAAUUUCGCCUGAGGAUGAGCCCGCGUCUGAUUAGCUAGUUGGUGGGGUAAAGGCCUACCAAGGCGACGAUCAGUAGCUGGUCUGAGAGGAUGAUCAGCCACACUGGGACUGAGACACGGCCCAGACUCCUACGGGAGGCAGCAGUGGGGAAUUUUCCGCAAUGGGCGAAAGCCUGACGGAGCAACGCCGCGUGAGGGAUGAAGGCCUCUGGGCUGUAAACCUCUUUUCUCAAGGAAGAAGAACUGACGGUACUUGAGGAAUAAGCCACGGCUAAUUCCGUGCCAGCAGCCGCGGUAAUACGGGAGUGGCAAGCGUUAUCCGGAAUUAUUGGGCGUAAAGCGUCCGCAGGCGGCCUUGUAAGUCUGUUGUUAAAGCGUGGAGCUCAACUCCAUUUAAGCAAUGGAAACUACAAGGCUGGAGUGUGGUAGGGGCAGAGGGAAUUCCCGGUGUAGCGGUGAAAUGCGUAGAUAUCGGGAAGAACACCAGUGGCGAAGGCGCUCUGCUGGGCCAUAACUGACGCUCAUGGACGAAAGCCAGGGGAGCGAAAGGGAUUAGAUACCCCUGUAGUCCUGGCCGUAAACGAUGAACACUAGGUGUCGGGGGAAUCGACCCCCUCGGUGUCGUAGCCAACGCGUUAAGUGUUCCGCCUGGGGAGUACGCACGCAAGUGUGAAACUCAAAGGAAUUGACGGGGGCCCGCACAAGCGGUGGAGUAUGUGGUUUAAUUCGAUGCAACGCGAAGAACCUUACCAGGGUUUGACAUCCUGCGAAUCCCUUGGAAACGAGGGAGUGCCUUCGGGAGCGCAGUGACAGGUGGUGCAUGGCUGUCGUCAGCUCGUGUCGUGAGAUGUUGGGUUAAGUCCCGCAACGAGCGCAACCCACGUCUUUAGUUGCCAGCAUUCAGUUGGGCACUCUAGAGAGACCGCCGGUGAUAAACCGGAGGAAGGUGUGGAUGACGUCAAGUCAUCAUGCCCCUUACAUCCUGGGCUACACACGUACUACAAUGCUACGGACAAAGGGCAGCAAGCUCGCGAGAGUUAGCAAAUCCCAUAAACCGUGGCUCAGUUCAGAUCGUAGGCUGCAACUCGCCUACGUGAAGGAGGAAUCGCUAGUAAUCGCAGGUCAGCAUACUGCGGUGAAUACGUUCCCGGGCCUUGUACACACCGCCCGUCACACCAUGGAAGUUGGCCAUGCCCGAAGUCGUUACUCCAACCCUUGUGGAGGAGGACGCCGAAGGUGGGGCUGAUGACUGGGGUGAAGUCGUAACAAGGUA